AUACGUAGGGUGCGAGCGUUAAUCGGAAUUACUGGGCGUAAAGCGUGCGCAGGCGGUGAUGCAAGACAGUUGUGAAAUCCCCGGGCUCAACCUGGGAAUUGCAUCUGUGACUGCAUCGCUAGAGUACGGUAGAGGGGGAUGGAAUUCCGCGUGUAGCAGUGAAAUGCGUAGAUAUGCGGAGGAACACCGAUGGCGAAGGCAAUCCCCUGGACCUGUACUGACGCUCAUGCACGAAAGCGUGGGGAGCAAACAGGAUUAGAUACCCUGGUAGUCCACGCCCUAAACGAUGUCAACUGGUUGUUGGGUGCAUUAGUACUCAGUAACGAAGCUAACGCGUGAAGUUGACCGCCUGGGGAGUACGGCCGCAAGGUUGAA
This 375-nucleotide ribosomal RNA is filed under the name uncultured bacterium. RNAcentral's name for it is "bacterial SSU rRNA". It matches the Rfam family "Bacterial small subunit ribosomal RNA", at positions 523 to 898 of the family's 1533-position model. The record is from RNAcentral.